RNAcentral lists this unclassified non-coding RNA (338 nucleotides) under soil metagenome. RNAcentral describes it as "partial contains 5.8S ribosomal RNA, internal transcribed spacer 2, and large subunit ribosomal RNA". The stretch from base 1 to 120 matches the Rfam family "5.8S ribosomal RNA", at positions 35 to 154 of the family's 154-position model. The record is from RNAcentral.
GAUGAAGAACGCAGCGAAAUGCGAUAAGUAAUGCGAAUUGCAGAAUUCCGUGAGUCAUCGAAUCUUUGAACGCACAUUGCGCCCUUUGGCAUUCCGAAGGGCAUGCCUGUUCGAGCGUCAUUUAUCAACCCUCAAGCCCGGCUUGCGGUUGGGUCCCGCCGUGGGCGACCACGGCGGACCCGAAAGGUAAUGGCGGUGCCCGUGGGGCCCUGGACGCAGCGAGCUUCUCGGCACGCGUCCCGGCGGUCCCCGGCGCCGUCUCCACCAAUCCACCACGCAGAUUGACCUCGGAUCAGGUAGGGAUACCCGCUGAACUUAAGCAUAUCAAUAAGCGGAGA